Molecule: non-coding RNA, 6478 nt
Organism: Peromyscus maniculatus bairdii (prairie deer mouse)
Lineage: Eukaryota; Metazoa; Chordata; Mammalia; Rodentia; Cricetidae
Source: RefSeq, a predicted model, not a curated record
AAUCAGAUGGGAGCGGAUUCUGAAAAGAACAAUUUACAUUUGGGAGUUAGCGCGGUACCGGCGUAAAGAAGUGAUGCUGCUGACCACGUUUAGCGUGCAGAGCUGAACGCGACCCCGGGAGUCGGCAGAAAGCAGGCCUGGCCACCUAGGUCACUUGAACUGGGGAAGGUUGUGAAGCAGGAGAGGUGUGGUGCAGAGGAAAACCGAAAGGCCUCCUGAAGAGGGCAUUGGGCAGGGCCCGCCUUGGUUUUCCUCUGGUAAUUCUGCCUACAUGUCCAGUUAAAUCCCGGACCCGGACCCAGACCCCAGCAAAGCUGCCAGGAACCCCCUAGAGCCAUUCAUUGAAGAAAAGUCCUUCCGUAACUGGAGCGAUGGGAACCCAGUCCUUUCCGGUUAGAGAUUAUGAGCACUUGAUCUUCGAUUUCUGUGCGCUCCUUCCCUCUCAGUCCAGACACCAGUCUGAACCAAACCCGAAUAGAAGAGUUUGGGGGAUGCUUUGGGAAGCUAGCUAAUAAGCAGCCCUUCCCGGCGUACUUGGAGAAGACUUGCACCGCACAGUUCCUCCCAGGAUAGGAUGCUUUGGAAUUUUGCUACCAAUAGAACUCUAGAGGCUUUACCUUUGCCUUGCGAAUGCACAAAGGCGCGCACACUCAGGCACACCCACGGGCUCUCUCCGAGUGCGCGCGUAGGCACCUGCGCAUAAUCAAGACCCACACAGAUGCCUCUUUGGGAGAUGAACUCAGCCUGGAGUACUUUUAAGUGGUAACUGCUCCCAUUUCCUCCUCUCUUUCCUGGGCUCCCCUCUUUGCCGCCUGGCCCAGGUUCCAGGUUUACCCCUGGAUGGUGCAUCCCUGGGUUUAGCAAUCUGAGCUAUCCUUUGGCUGCCUGAUUCCAGAGGAGCAGCGUGCCUGGGGCUGCGGUUCCCGCCGCGCAGUCUCCGUCCAGUUUGGCCACACCGGCUGGGGCUCCAGGUUCCAGAGCAGUCUCCAGCGGUAGAUUGCAGAGCGUGAAGCGAGUUCGAGAGUCCGGGCAUCCACUCCGAGCAGCUAGAUACUGGCCAGUAAGAUUCCAUGCAAAUUUGUAAAGGGGCUCUGGAGGACAAACACUUCAGCCAACACCCCGAAGUCCUGGAGAGUCUCCACUAAAAUCGAGAGCGCUUCCCUGGUGGGCUUCUAGUCAAGGAAGUGGAUAACCCAGUGAUCCAAGAAAUCCCAGGCGAGAACCUCCACCGAAGAGAGGUCAGUUCUGGAGGCACUCGAGAGAAAGUGAUGCUUUCUGAUUUCUCUUUAAACUUUGCAGCUCUGUGGACUCCAGGGCGACCGAUGGAGUCGCCCUAGCUCGGUCUCCAGGCAGAUCCAAAUGAGCACUUCCAAGUACUUUAGGAUGCGGGGGUGACUCCUUUUUCCUUCAGGACUGUCCCACUUGUCCAGCUCAGCUGAAAGGAACUAGAGGUCUCCAAGAUAAGGAUUUGCGGUUCCACGAAAGGGACAAAGUAUAUAUCCAAAUAUUGAAUUAGAACCCCAAAGACUUUGCCUAUCUGGAUUGAGUAACUUCCUUUUUUCCUUGUUUUUGAUUACAAUUUAUACCGGGACAGAGGUGAGAAAAGGACUCACCACCAAUUGGGCCAACUGAAGAUGUUAACAGUUGGGAACAAGACAAAAUUCAAAUUUCACCUUGGGGUGCUUUUAAUUAAACCUGCGGGGGCUUGUUUUGCGGUGAGAAAGAUGACAUCAGCGUUUGGCUGAAGUGUUCUUUCCAGGUUCAACUCUUUCCAGGCAGACAUGGCCUCUUAACUUCACCUCCCAGGGCAGCGCUUACUGCUGAGGGUGUUGGCCUCUGCUCUCCCAGCUCCACUUCCCUCUAGGAAACUGUGUCUGCUGAGGCAGGAAUCUUUCACUCUGCAGGUAAACCCACAGAUCCAUGCAUCACUCAGGCCGGACAAGAGACGAUUCUUCUUGCAGUAGAUGACAAUUAACACAGAAACCCACAACAUGUGAACAUGCAGAAGACAAGAAACAUUACAAUGCUCAGCCCUGAGUCUGUACCAUAUGCCCUGCUCAAGGCCAAAAGAUCUAUGAAGAAGAGGAUGUGGAAAGAUUGUAAGAGUCAGAGCAGGUCAUGGUUGAUUUCAAGGAAAGCAGUGUUUUCAAGACACAAAAAGGUACAAGACCACAAGCUCAAGCAAGACAAAAUCCCAGUACUGAAGAGUGGAGAUGGGCAUGAAGUCUCAUCCCUGGUUGAGGAGCUAUUCACAUUUGAUUACUUCUGGAAGAAGGAAAGUUCAUUUUCUUCAAUAGAGUAACACCUGUUAUACUAACCACACUCCAGGACAGGUGAUGCACCAAGGAACAGUCAGAGAAACUAAGUUCUGCAGGAAUAGGGGGAGUGUUGGAUAGGUAGGGAGAUGGGCAGGACCUGGGAAGAAUUGGGGGAAAGACAAUAAUGUGACUAAAACAGAGUGUAUGGAACUCUCAAAGGAUAAAUGAAAACAUUAUUUAAUUUAAAAAUUUUAAUUUUGCUUUUCUGGAAACAAUUGUUUUCUGUUUUAUUUUUAUUACUAUUUAUUAUUUUUUUUGAGGGACAGAUGGACUCAUAACUAUUUCUUUGUUGUGCAUGCUUUGCUUUUCAGGGAUAAAAUAAUCUCCCAGUGGGAGUCUGUUUUCUUCGUUUUUGUUUUUGUUUUGCGUCAUUGCAAUAUAUCCUUGCUAUGGUGUGCCCUAAAAAGUAAAUGCUGAAACUGAAAGGCGACAAUACUGAGCACAGCCCGAGAGAGUGGACACUGUUCUGAACAAGUUCUGUUUAGUUCUGGCAAAGAAAGUGUCUGUGUCUCAUCUCCCAGCUGAUGAAACGUGGGGCAGUGUCAGUAAGGACCCCAUUACAAGGGCUGCCCUUCCGACUCUGUGCGAUCACAUUUACAUACACAAGGAGUUUUUAUUAGACAUGGUGUGACAACGAGACUUCCUGUAAUUGUGUUUUCUCGUUUCCAACACUAUUUGCUUUACUUAUCCCUUUGAUGAUGAAAUGUAUAAAGGAAUGGAACCAACUUCAUUUAAUCAUUUAUUUUGCGAUUUUUUUUUCCAGAAACCGCAAGCUUUUCUCUGCUAUUUUAAUAUUGAACCGAGCAUAUGUUAGACACAUGAAGCAUGGGUGAAACAGAUUGCCCAGCCUGGUAGGUCAUAUGUCAAAGUAUGUUUUAUUCUAUUCUUAAACUAAGAAGUGUUUAACAGGUGAAACAGAACGGCUACCAGGAGCCGCAAAGCAAGAGGAUGAUAUAGAUCCUUUUAGCACUCAGCAAUCCUGAUACAAAGCCACUGACCAGCUGUUCUCUCUGUUGUUUCUAGCAGUGUGGGGAUCAUCGCUGUGAAAUGAUGAUGAGUCAGCCUUGACACGCAGUGUGUUAAGCUUAACUCCAACUGAAUAAGUAAUUUCUCUAUCAAAUAUGACAUUUGAUUGUACUGUACCACUGUUUACCCAAAAUUAUAAUCGGAAAAUUGACAUUUAUCAUUAAUUCAACAUGUAGCACCUAUGCUUUCAUGUGCAUAUUCCUAUCCUGACAUGUUUUGUGAUAUUUACAACCUAAGAAAGGAAAAAAAUUAACAUAUAUAUUAAGUUUUAGAUUACAUUUAGAAUAAAAUAGGAUCUUGAUGUUUGGAAGGUUAUUUCAGAGUUGUGAAAAUUAUUUUCCUCCUCUAUUGUUUGUGUAAGGAUUACAUUACCUCAUCAAUCCUGGCGGCUAUGGUCAGAAGGAAAUCUUGAAGACAUUUUUCCUAUAUCUGAAGUAUAUAUAGUAGCAGUAGUCAUUAACUAGUCCAUAUAAUUCAAAUAAGUGUAUGAUUAAUACAUAUUAGGUAUGCAUAUACAAGAAAUAAUGUAUUACUUCAAAAAUUACUAUAAGUAUACAUGCCUGUCUGUAAUAACUACUUUAAAAACCAUCCUAUUUAGGGAAUAGUAAAAUGACUCAGUCAGUAAAGUGCUUUCCAGGCAAGGAUCAUUACUUGAGAUCGGUCCCAAAUACCCAAUUAAAAUUUCAGGUUCUAGUGAGAAAUUCUGAGUCAUGAAACAAGAUGAGUUCACAGCUCAUUAGAAACAGCACCCAGAGUUGUCCUCUGACUCCCACAUUCAUACACACACAUACACACGCAAACACACACACUCAUGCACUUGCACGUGCAGGAGCACUGCUCCCACACAACUAUCCCAUUCAUUCACAUUCACACGUAUUUGAAUUUACAUGGAUAGAAAUCUAAUUUUGACAGUAAUCUGCAGAUAACUAUUUCAACUGCAAAUUUAAAAUAAAAAAUAAUUAAAAUCACAAGCUAACUUUCUGUACUUGAAUUUAAAUGCAGUAAAAACUAUAAUAACUCUAAAAAAUACUUUCCCUUGAAAACAGAGUAAACUGGAUUUUUUUUAUUAACCCAUAGGUUAGUGGUCAAUCAUUAGAGUUCUGAAAAUUAGAACUGCCCAGUUUUCUUGAUUUUAGGCAGAUUGCAGUAAACAUAAUGAUGGAGCAUCACUACCGUAAAGGGCUCAUGUUCUGGAAUGAAAAGGAAGCAUUUAAAUAUGUAAUUGAAUUCAGUACACUCUAGGGCAAUGUGAGGUAUGUCUGUUUCUGAACAGUGAACAUUUUUAUGCCUUGAUAAGGAAUUUUAAUUUGAUAAUCAGCAGUGAACUUAUUUGGUCCAUGUCAAAGUAUAAUAGAUAAGAACUUCUAUUUGGGAACUACUUGUGCAUUAGUGUUGAAGUUGAAGAGAUAACUGAACAUUAAUUUUAAAAAGAUUCCACAACAACAAUUAUUGUUGUGUAAACAUGAAAUAAAAUGCGUGAGUCUGAGACAGAAAAAAAAGUCAGAUUUGAGAAUUGACAGAAGUAGAUUUAAUGGCUAAUCAGAUCCUUAGACCGACUCUCAAGUAUUUUAUUCAUAAUGCCUAUUAUUCAUAACAGAAGAAACUAUAUGAGUCUCCUUCUCUGGUAAUUUAGAGCAAAGGUCUACUACAGAAGAGUUGAAAACUGUGAGGCAGAGCAACUACAAAGGAACACAGUAACUGACACGCCAUAGAAGCACAAAAAAGAAGAUAUUGAUACUCAUAGGCAAUUCAUAGGUUUGAACUUGAAUAAGCUGUUUGUUGCUAACAAAUGUUUAGUAAUCAGGUUGGCAAAAAUAUUCAGGAAGAAAAUAAGAAUGAUUUGUAUAUAUAACCCUAGCUCUAACCCUUGAUAACUCUAAUGAUAUCUGUGAUUGAAAAGAUUCAACCUCGGCUGACUUUGCAUUGCUGUAUGAGAUCAUUGAACAAAGAGUUGGGAAGAAUUAUGCACAGUUGACCUCAGCCAGCCAGAAAGCUGGUUCUAGCUUGCCAAUGACUGCAAGAUGCAGAAGUGUCCCCAUAUGACAUUUUUGUUGUUAUUCUUGUUAGGGAUUCCACAAUGUUGACCAGGAUACUCCCUCUCGAAAUCUCUCCAAGCAUGUUGUGCUAGUGGAGGGAUUUGUAUGGCAGAGAUGGGGUAGGGAGAAGGGGUUGAUUAGUUCUGUAAAUAGAGCCACAUUUGUGACUGAUUGGGAAAACAUAAGUGAUUUAAAGGGCUUAUGGUAAGUGAUUUAAAGCAGCCACAGAUGGAUGAAUACAUUCUCUCUCAAGUGAAAGCUGAAAUAUUUUAGUGACUAUCUAUAGGAGUGUAGAAUAGUGCAGCACAGUGAUGUCACUACACUUUGCACUGAUGUGUUAUAUAUUCUAUUCUUAAAAAAAAAAGAGCUGGGUGGUGGUGGUGCAUGCCUUUAAUCCCAGCACUUGGGAGGCAGAGCCAUCCCUCUUUCCCUCUCUCCCUCCCUCUAUGUGUAUGUGAGAGCAUGCAUGUGCAUAUAUGUGUAUCUGCCCAUGUGUUCAGUAACUAUGGAGGGUGGAAACACUGGUUUACCUGGAGCUGGAUUUACAGGUUGCUAUGAGGCACCUAACAUAAGUGCUGGGGCCUGACUCAGGUACUCUGCUGGAACAGUAAUGGCUCUUAAUGUUGAGCAAAGGAGAUGGAAAUGUUAAUUGUUCUUCAUAUAUAUAUAUAUAUAUAUAUAAUAAUCACACUAUGUCUCAUAAAUAUACAAACUAAUUAUAUAUAAAGUAAAAUAAGAUAAAUGCUUCUAAGGGAUUUGAAAGUCUCUUUUACAAGGUUACAGAAUUAUAAUUUAAAUGGCUGAAAAACAGUUGUUGAAAUGUUUAACAUCUUUAGUCAUCAAGGAAGUGUAAAUCAAAACUACUUUGAGAUUUCUUUUUAUACCCAUUAGAAUGGCUAAGAUUAAAAAGCAAAAACUAAAAGACAAGUGAAAGCAAAUAUUGGCAAGGGUGUCUAGUGAGGGGAAUACUCACUCAUUGCUUGUGGGACUGAAAAAUUGUUCAAUCACUAAGGAAAUCAGCAUGGUGGCUUCUCAGGAAGAUGGAAAUCAAUCUACCUAAGUUUCUACUGUACCACUCUUAUGCAUACAACCAAAGGA